UGAAGCUAAAAACUGGGACUCAUGAUCUGACAUCUGGUUAAGCCCCUUCCGGGUGUACGAGGCUGUCUUGCAAAUAUAACUGAGAUGAUGAAAUACUAGGCUUUCUGACAUAUUUCAAUUGUUUAUGAAUAGAACCAGGUGCAAUUUUGAUGGAGAACCUCUGUAUCAAAAACUCUAAACACACAAGUGCAGGUGUGACAUACUUAUAAGCUGACAACUUUGAAGAGGGUGCUGGGGAAUGGAGAUGAAGUAGAUACAACCUCUGCCCUCAAGGCAUCCACAGCCAGUGGGUGAGACAGACAUAGAGCAACAACAGCAACACAACCUAGACUGGCUUUCUUGGCAAGGUAACUCAGGUUCAUCCCAGACAUAGAAUGCUCUGCACAUGGCUACUUCCUUGCCCUAUGCUGCUGACAGGAAGAUUCACAAGGCUGGUGAGGAGCAGUGACCUGCCUGCUAUCUCUUUGUGAUCACCAGCAACACACAGGUCCUCACUCUUCAAAGCCAAGGAAAGAAGAGUCAGGCACAGAACAGGACUGGGACAGCAAUGGAAGAAAUCUGCCGAAGAAGGGCUGCAGUACAUCUAAUGGAGAUGAGAAGAGAAAUCAGGCAAUUUGGGAAAAACCCUCUCUGCUGUCUUAAGCCUGGCUGUGCUACCAAAGGUCACAGAGGAACUCAGGGGGCUGAGAACCACUGAUGAGCC
Molecule: long non-coding RNA, 703 nt
Organism: Eptesicus fuscus (big brown bat)
Lineage: Eukaryota; Metazoa; Chordata; Mammalia; Chiroptera; Vespertilionidae
Exons: 5
Source: RefSeq, a predicted model, not a curated record